AUCAAACCUGCAGGGUAAAUCCCUGGAUGAGAUUGAAAUUGAAGGAAAAAGAAAGCAGCCACACUUGGUAACAGAAGAUACCAGGAUAUCUUAUGAAGAACCUAAAGUUGCGCCUGUGAAGAAACCUUGCCA
Long non-coding RNA from Polypterus senegalus (gray bichir), 132 nucleotides. RefSeq lists it as uncharacterized. The record is from RefSeq and is a predicted model, not a curated record. The transcript is spliced from 3 exons. Lineage: Eukaryota; Metazoa; Chordata; Cladistia; Polypteriformes; Polypteridae.